RNAcentral lists this ribosomal RNA (497 nucleotides) under uncultured bacterium. RNAcentral describes it as "partial 16S ribosomal RNA". It matches the Rfam family "Bacterial small subunit ribosomal RNA", at positions 28 to 507 of the family's 1533-position model. The record is from RNAcentral.
GACGAACGCUGGCGGCGUGCCUAAUACAUGCAAGUUGAGCGAUGAAGAUUGGUGCUUGCACCAAUUUGAAGAGCAGCGAACGGGUGAGUAACGCGUGGGGAAUCUGCCUUUGAGCGGGGGACAACAUUUGGAAACGAAUGCUAAUACCGCAUAACAACUUUAAACAUAAGUUUUAAGUUUGAAAGAUGCAAUUGCACCACUCAAAGAUGAUCCCGCGUUGUAUUAGCUAGUUGGUGAGGUAAAGGCUCACCAAGGCGAUGAUACAUAGCCGACCUGAGAGGGUGAUCGGCCACAUUGGGACUGAGACACGGCCCAAACUCCUACGGGAGGCAGCAGUAGGGAAUCUUCGGCAAUGGACGAAAGUCUGACCGAGCAACGCCGAGUGAGUGAAGAAGGGUGUCGGAUCGUAAAACUCUGUUGGUAGAGAAGAACGUUGGUGAGAGUGGAAAGCUCAUCAAGUGACGGUAACUACCCAGAAAGGGACGGCUAACUACGUG